RNAcentral lists this long non-coding RNA (429 nucleotides) under Phoenix dactylifera (date palm). RNAcentral describes it as "long non-coding RNA (PDAC_LNC022117)". Lineage: Eukaryota; Viridiplantae; Streptophyta; Magnoliopsida; Arecales; Arecaceae. The record is from RNAcentral.
AUAUAUCAUGCUUUUGAUGCUUGUUCUAAAUCACAUAUUGCUUUAUCAUAUAUGUAAUGUGUAUUUUUAAAUAUGGUGGUUAUUUUUCAUAGAUCUCCUUUUUAAUGAAGUAACCACAUAGGAGUGAAUUCUACACAUUCAUUUGACAGAAUAUAAACCUCAUGAAGCAAGCACAUGAUAAUGAUGAUCUUUACUUCUAAUCAUGCAAGAAUCUUUAUCAAGAUCUAUUUUCUCUUUUCUUGAUUUAGUCUUUUAGUAGUCAUUAAUUUUUCUUCAUUAAGUGCAUAUGUAAAAGAUUAACCAUAUAAUUUGAUUUUAGUAUUUUGAUAAUAAAUCAUUAGUCUUAUAAGGAAUAAAAUGAAUUGAUACUUCUACAACUAGAAUUUUUCAUGAAUGUUCUAUAUGCAUUGCUUGAUGAAUGAUAUCCAA